RNAcentral lists this unclassified non-coding RNA (386 nucleotides) under soil metagenome. RNAcentral's name for it is "partial contains 5.8S ribosomal RNA, internal transcribed spacer 2, and large subunit ribosomal RNA". The stretch from base 1 to 122 matches the Rfam family "5.8S ribosomal RNA", at positions 35 to 154 of the family's 154-position model. The record is from RNAcentral.
GAUGAAGAACGCAGUGAAAUGCGAUAAGUAAUGUGAAUUGCAGAAUUCAGUGAAUCAUCGAAUCUUUGAACGCACCUUGCACCCUUUGGACUGCUCCAAAGGGUAUGCUCGUUUGAGUGUCAUUGUACUCUCACACUCUCUGAUCCUUUGGAUUUGGGGAGCAGUGGACUUGGGUGCUUGCUGCUUCCUUGUGGCUCACCUGAAAUGCAUCAGUGCAUCUCUCGAUUGGACAUAGUACGGCGUGAUAAGUGUCUUCGCCGGCACCUCAUAUGAGGGUGGCCGAUCGGGAGCUCUGUGCUUUCAAACCGUCUUCGGACAACGCUGACAACUUGACCUCAAAUCGAGUAGGACUACCCGCUGAACUUAAGCAUAUCAUAAGCGGAGGA